GGAAGAACCAUAGCUCAGUGGUAGAGCAUCUGCUUUGCAUGCAGAAGGUCUCAGGUUCAAUCCCCAGUAUCUCCA
Podarcis lilfordi (Lilford's wall lizard) is the source of this 75-nucleotide non-coding RNA. The record is from the annotation of a GenBank genome assembly. Lineage: Eukaryota; Metazoa; Chordata; Lepidosauria; Squamata; Lacertidae.